UUAACCAACCCCUAGCUUACAUAGUUAUUGUACAGCUUGUUAAGGAUAGCAACAGGCUGUCCUUCAGCCAUGUACCAACCAGCUAAUUUCUCUUUUAUGAUACAACAAGCCUCAUGAAUAGUUGUAGUACAGUGCACAUAACAAAUUAUCUGAACCAAUAGAUUUAUUGUCAUAUCUGUGUAUUGUAAUUACAUGUAUUUGUGUACUAACUGCUAACCUCAGGCUUUAGUUAUUAUUUAUACUUAGUAGAUACAAUUUUGAUAUGUCUAUACCACAUUACACGUGUAUAUACAUUAUAUGUACAUACAUGUACAUUAUACAUUUAGAUCACCUUAGCAUUCAGCAACAUGUGCAUGUAAAGUUUUCUAUUAUUUUGUCCACGAUGCAAGUUAGUUUUAUUACUUUUAUAUGAGAUAGUGUGAUCAUUAGCUGAUUAUUUGUUAUACAGGUUGAUAAUGUCACUGCCACCAUUCAAAAAGGUAUAAUGUUGGGACUCAGGCCUGUACUGAAUUAAGACAUUAACAAGAUUCAAGAAAUUGUUGGAGAUAUUGAGAUAUCAGCCACUGCAGGAGCUCUCACUAUUGAAGGAGAAACUGAGAGCUUCUCUGAAGCAUGUUAUGAAAUUGUGAAGACUCUUAAGAUGCUUGUUGAUGAUACUUAAGCUUCUUGUAAGCAGUGCUGAUGAUACUCAGCCUCAGGAGCUGUUAGCUGAAGCAGCCAGUAAAGCUGUCACCACUAUGCAAACUGAAGCAAAUCAACUCAAGAAAGUAGCUUCAUCACUUACCUUUGAUCAUGUUGAGGCUCAAUUGUUAUUACUUAAUGGUAUAAGAGAUGUUGCUAAUGCUCUGGGCCUCUGGCUGAUCUCAUUGAUGCCACUCAAGUUGUUUGGGGUAAGAGUGUCAGUUACCCUUCUAUAGAGAACCUUAAAGAAAUUGCUAAGAAAAUGGUUGGUAAAGCUAGUCGAUUCUUAAAAACAGUUAAGAAUGUUCAAAAUGAGGCUGCUUAGGGCGUUCAAUUGCUUGAAAAGACCAUUGACUCCAUUGAAAGUGACCUUGUGGAAUUCCAAUCUUCUACUGAAGCCACCACAGUUAGAUAAAGCUAAAGCUACCCCAGAGAAACUUCUCCAAGUCACCCAAGCCAUUGCUCUUGCCUCCUCAAAAACUGUCACAGCCGGUAACAGCUGCAAGCAGGUUGAUGUAUCAGUAGCUGCUAAUCUCAGAUACCAAGCUGUUCAUGAUUAGCAAAGCAGUUGCACAGAACUUUACACAGACUAAAGAACAGACUGAAAAGUGUAGGGUCAUGGCCUGUUGUAAAGAAUGUACCAUUGCUUAUAAAGCUUUGCUGCAGUUCCUACAUCACAUUGUACUUAAAGCAGAUGAUUCCUCAAUUCAUGUUAAGCUCCCCUCAUUCACAAGAGAGGUUGCUAGUGCUGUCAGUGACAUUGUUAAGGUUACCAGUGAGCUUAAAAGGAGCUGGUUUCAUUGAUAUGAGUAAUCCUGAGGUCGGCAGAACUGAACAAGAACUCCUUGCAGCUGCCACCUCUAUUAAAGCUGCUGCCAAAAAACUUAAAGAAUUAAGGGUUGCACCAACUAUAUUGAUGCUCAUCUGAAUUUUGAUGCUCAGAUCCUUGAGGCUGCCAAGAGCAUUGCAGCUGCCACCAAAAGC
Molecule: long non-coding RNA, 1665 nt
Filed under: Amphimedon queenslandica
Lineage: Eukaryota; Metazoa; Porifera; Demospongiae; Haplosclerida; Niphatidae
Description: uncharacterized LOC109582376
Source: RNAcentral